Long non-coding RNA from Xenopus laevis (African clawed frog), 286 nucleotides. RefSeq lists it as uncharacterized. The transcript is spliced from 3 exons. The record is from RefSeq and is a predicted model, not a curated record. Lineage: Eukaryota; Metazoa; Chordata; Amphibia; Anura; Pipidae.
AGAAAAGGCAGGCAAGCAAGCACGCCUAAACAACGGAUUCUUUACUUGGAACGAGCCAUCUGUUCAAGUAACAAUUGAAAUAAGGCCUGGAAGAUCCUACCAUCAAAAAUGGAGCCACCUAAGAUCAGAAGAAGAUUUUGUCCAUUUUAAAAACACAUGAAAAAAGUGUUCCAGCCUAUUGAAACUGUUUAGCUUAGUGGUGGCUGAAGGUGUAAGAGGCAUUAAGGGGCCUAUUUAUUAAACCUCAGUUUUUCUAGUCAAGUUUUUAAAGAGGAAAAAAUUUAAU